RNAcentral lists this ribosomal RNA (468 nucleotides) under uncultured bacterium. RNAcentral's name for it is "partial 16S ribosomal RNA". It matches the Rfam family "Bacterial small subunit ribosomal RNA", at positions 28 to 507 of the family's 1533-position model. The record is from RNAcentral.
GACGAACGCUGGCGGCGUGCUUAACACAUGCAAGUCGAACGGAAAGGCCCUGCUUUUGUGGGGUGCUUGAGUGGCGAACGGGUGAGUAACACGUGAGUAACCUGCCCUUGACUUUGGGAUAACUUUAGGAAACUGGGGCUAAUACCGGAUAGGAGCUCCUGCUGCAUGGUGGGGGUUGGAAAGUUUCGGCGGUUGGGGAUGGACUCGCGGCUUAUCAGCUUGUUGGUGGGGUAGUGGCUUACCAAGGCUUUGACGGGUAGCCGGCCUGAGAGGGUGACCGGCCACAUUGGGACUGCGGUACGGCCCAGACUCCUACGGGAGGCAGCAGUGGGGAAUAUUGCGCAAUGGGCGGAAGCCUGAUGCAGCGACGCCGCGUGCGGGAUGACGGCCUUCGGGUUGUAAACCGCUUUCGCCUGUGACGAAGCGUGAGUGACGGUAAUGGGUAAAGAAGCACCGGCUAACUACGUG